GCCGAAGUGGCGGAACAGGCAGACGCGCACGACUCAAAAUCGUGUGGGGAAACCCGUGUGGGUUCGACUCCCACCUUCGGCA
Molecule: transfer RNA, 82 nt
Filed under: Chloroflexota bacterium
Lineage: Bacteria; Bacillati; Chloroflexota
Also listed under: 2 other names
Description: Chloroflexi bacterium tRNA-Leu
Rfam family: tRNA
About the family: Transfer RNA (tRNA) molecules are approximately 80 nucleotides in length.
Source: RNAcentral